GAUGAACGCUGGCGGCGUGCCUAAUACAUGCAAGUCGAGCGAACAGACAAGGAGCUUGCUCCUUUGACGUUAGCGGCGGACGGGUGAGUAACACGUGGGUAACCUACCUAUAAGACUGGGAUAACUUCGGGAAACCGGAGCUAAUACCGGAUAAUAUUUCGAACCGCAUGGUUCGAUAGUGAAAGAUGGUUUUGCUAUCACUUAUAGAUGGACCCGCGCCGUAUUAGCUAGUUGGUAAGGUAACGGCUUACCAAGGCGACGAUACGUAGCCGACCUGAGAGGGUGAUCGGCCACACUGGAACUGAGACACGGUCCAGACUCCUACGGGAGGCAGCAGUAGGGAAUCUUCCGCAAUGGGCGAAAGCCUGACGGAGCAACGCCGCGUGAGUGAUGAAGGUCUUCGGAUCGUAAAACUCUGUUAUUAGGGAAGAACAUACGUGUAAGUAACUAUGCACGUCUUGACGGUACCUAAUCAGAAAGCCACGGCUAACUACGUGCCAGCAGCCGCGGUAAUACGUAGGUGGCAAGCGUUAUCCGGAAUUAUUGGGCGUAAAGCGCGCGUAGGCGGUUUUUUAAGUCUGAUGUGAAAGCCCACGGCUCAACCGUGGAGGGUCAUUGGAAACUGGAAAACUUGAGUGCAGAAGAGGAAAGUGGAAUUCCAUGUGUAGCGGUGAAAUGCGCAGAGAUAUGGAGGAACACCAGUGGCGAAGGCGACUUUCUGGUCUGUAACUGACGCUGACGUGCGAAAGCGUGGGGAUCAAACAGGAUUAGAUACCCUGGUAGUCCACGCCGUAAACGAUGAGUGCUAAGUGUUAGGGGGUUUCCGCCCCUUAGUGCUGCAGCUAACGCAUUAAGCACUCCGCCUGGGGAGUACGACCGCAAGGUUGAAACUCAAAGGAAUUGACGGGGACCCGCACAAGCGGUGGAGCAUGUGGUUUAAUUCGAAGCAACGCGAAGAACCUUACCAAAUCUUGACAUCCUUUGACAACUCUAGAGAUAGAGCCUUCCCCUUCGGGGGACAAAGUGACAGGUGGUGCAUGGUUGUCGUCAGCUCGUGUCGUGAGAUGUUGGGUUAAGUCCCGCAACGAGCGCAACCCUUAAGCUUAGUUGCCAUCAUUAAGUUGGGCACUCUAAGUUGACUGCCGGUGACAAACCGGAGGAAGGUGGGGAUGACGUCAAAUCAUCAUGCCCCUUAUGAUUUGGGCUACACACGUGCUACAAUGGACAAUACAAAGGGCAGCGAAACCGCGAGGUCAAGCAAAUCCCAUAAAGUUGUUCUCAGUUCGGAUUGUAGUCUGCAACUCGACUACAUGAAGCUGGAAUCGCUAGUAAUCGUAGAUCAGCAUGCUACGGUGAAUACGUUCCCGGGUCU
RNAcentral lists this ribosomal RNA (1372 nucleotides) under uncultured bacterium. RNAcentral's name for it is "bacterial SSU rRNA". It matches the Rfam family "Bacterial small subunit ribosomal RNA", at positions 28 to 1381 of the family's 1533-position model. The record is from RNAcentral.